Long non-coding RNA from Telopea speciosissima, 157 nucleotides. RefSeq lists it as uncharacterized. NCBI's taxonomy places the organism in Eukaryota, Viridiplantae, Streptophyta, Magnoliopsida, Proteales, Proteaceae. The transcript is spliced from 5 exons. The record is from RefSeq and is a predicted model, not a curated record.
AUCUCCAAAUCAUUUAAGGAGGGUCAUGACAAUGAAUUUGAAUGAAAUAUAAAAGGACAAGACCAAGUAGAUCAUUUAAGGAGGGUCUUGACAAUGGAUUUAACGUUGAGCUUCUUAAGGUCUGUGUAGGACUGUCCACAGCCAACAAACAUCACAG